CAGCAGCCACGGUAAUACGUAGGGUGCGAGCGUUAAUCGGAAUUACUGGGCGUAAAGCGUGCGCAGGCGGUGAGUUAAGUCUGCUGUGAAAUCCCCGGGCUCAACCUGGGAAUGGCAGUGGAUACUGGCAAGCUAGAGUGUGUCAGAGGAUGGUGGAAUUCCCGGUGUAGCGGUGAUAUGCGUAGAGAUCGGGAGGAACAUCUGUGGCGAAGGCGGCCAUCUGGGACAACACUGACGCUGAGGCACGAAAGCGUGGGGAGCAAACAGGAUUAGAUACCCGUGUAGUCCCUGUCUCUUAUAC
This 301-nucleotide ribosomal RNA is filed under the name uncultured bacterium. RNAcentral describes it as "partial 16S ribosomal RNA". It matches the Rfam family "Bacterial small subunit ribosomal RNA", at positions 509 to 807 of the family's 1533-position model. The record is from RNAcentral.